AUGAAGCUGGCUGUCCCCUUCCCAGACACCAGCUGUCAGAAACUCACAGAAGCAUAUAAAUGCGAGCUUGAUACAUUCUCUGAGAAGUGCAUGGCCACAGAAGUGGCUGCUGGUGCUCUGGGUGAUGAGUGGAAUGAUAAACAGGCUUUCUCUGUAUAGCAAAUGUCUUGACUCCCGGCAGAGUGCAUCUGCUUUUCAAUAAGGGCAUUCUUGUAAUAGACCAAGGAGAACUAGAAAAAGAACCUAGUCUGUUCAUAGGUCAUGGUGGAUGUCCAUUUGAGUGUUCUCAACUUGGUUAUUGUAUUUAAAAAAAAAAUAGUCCUAGACUAACAAAUACUACUGUGUUUUGGCAGUGGAGCUCAAAAGAGCAGAAUUUAAAAGCUUCUGAAUCUUGAUCUCUCUUUAAAAAGAAAAAAAAUGCAGUCAGAAGGCCCUUAAACAAAGGCCUAAAGUCCAGAGCCAAAGUGUCCAAGAGUCAGCACCUUCUUACUCCAGUGUCUUACAACACAAAUGCUAAUGUAGUACUGUGAAAAACAAUACGUUAAGAAAAACAAGGAGGAGGCUUCAGAAUAUAGUGAGCUUUUGGCCAAGAAAAGGAAGGAAGCCAAAGAAAAAUGCCAGGAACAGAGAGCCAAAAGACAUACAUAGACUGUGUUCACUGAGAAAUUCUACUGCUGAGUCCAGUCAAAAG
This 691-nucleotide long non-coding RNA is filed under the name Mus musculus (house mouse). RNAcentral's name for it is "long non-coding RNA chr11:105031156-105031847". Lineage: Eukaryota; Metazoa; Chordata; Mammalia; Rodentia; Muridae. The record is from RNAcentral.